GACGAACGCUGGCGGCGUGCUUAACACAUGCAAGUCGAACGGAAAGGCCCUGCUUGCAGGGUACUCGAGUGGCGAACGGGUGAGUAACACGUUGGUGAUCUGCCCUGCACUUCGGGAUAAGCCUGGGAAACUGGGUCUAAUACCGGAUAGGAGCCAUUUUUAGUGUGAUGGUUGGAAAGUUUUUUCGGUGUAGGAUGAGCUCGCGGCCUAUCGGCUUGUUGGUGGGGUUAUGGCCUACCAAGGCGGCGACGGGUAGCCGGCCUGAGAGGGUGGACGGCCACACUGGGACUGAGAUACGGCCCAGACUCCGACGGGAGGCAGCAGGGGGGAAGAUUGCACAAUGGGCGCAGGCCUGAUGCAGCGACGCCGCGUGGGGGAUGACGGCCUUCGGGUUGUAAACUCCUUUCGCUAGGGACGAAGCAUUUUGUGACGGUACCUAAACAAGAAGCACCGGCUAACUACGUG
This 465-nucleotide ribosomal RNA is filed under the name uncultured bacterium. RNAcentral's name for it is "partial 16S ribosomal RNA". It matches the Rfam family "Bacterial small subunit ribosomal RNA", at positions 28 to 507 of the family's 1533-position model. The record is from RNAcentral.